UACGAAGGGUGCAAGCGUUACUCGGAAUCACUGGGCGUAAAGCGUGCGUAGGCGGUUCGUUAAGUCUGCUGUGAAAGCCCUGGGCUCAACCUGGGAACUGCAGUGGAUACUGGCGGACUAGAGUGUGAUAGAGGAUGGUGGAAUUCCCGGUGUAGCGGUGAAAUGCGUAGAGAUCGGGAGGAACACCAGUGGCGAAGGCGGCCAUCUGGAUCAACACUGACGCUGAGGCACGAAAGCGUGGGGAGCAAACCGG
This 253-nucleotide ribosomal RNA is filed under the name uncultured bacterium. RNAcentral's name for it is "partial 16S ribosomal RNA". It matches the Rfam family "Bacterial small subunit ribosomal RNA", at positions 524 to 776 of the family's 1533-position model. The record is from RNAcentral.